This is a non-coding RNA of Paramormyrops kingsleyae, 2238 nucleotides long. Lineage: Eukaryota; Metazoa; Chordata; Actinopteri; Osteoglossiformes; Mormyridae. The record is from RefSeq and is a predicted model, not a curated record.
ACGUUUCGUGACGUUUUCAUCCAAGUUCCUACUCAGAGAGAAAUAAUCGAACGCAGGAUAAUACGACAAAGAUAUUUUAUUUUCUGCGAUCACUAGAUUCUGAUUGUGAAUUUGGCUUGUAAGAUAUCUGUCUGCUAAUAACAUAACAACAUGUUAGUGAAUGGUUUUGUGCCUUGCACACUACUCAUCAUACCAUAAUGCACUUAGUUACUAGUGUUUUUUUUUCUUUCAAAAUGUAUUAGAGUGUAAUUGUUUUAAUGUGCAUGGAGUACUGGAAUUGUAGAAUGAAUUGAAGAUGAAGGCACUAUAAUAAAAAUGUUAACCUUGCAUUUUUCUUAUGUUUUACAGUUUUUUCCAAUCAUUUUAACGCGUGAAUUGUGAAACGUUUUGGUGGUUGUAGGGCAUUUUGCACGAAAGGUUAAGUGAUGUGCUCAGGUGUGUAUUGGUACAGCCCACUGUGUGAAGUGUUGUGAAAAAGUGGACAUGGUAUUGAGACAAGUGUGAAAAUGAUUGGAAAAAACUUUAAUAUAGGCUUACUAUGUGGAUGUCACAGCAUUUGCCACAAGGGGCAUUACUAAGUCAAACGUGUAUUUUAUAGCUGUUACAUGGCCCAAAGGUUGAGGCUUUCCCACAGUGGUUGCAUGAUUUGCUAGUUUACUCUUUCUAAGUGGACAUUUCAUGUAGCCUACAAUCCAGUGAGGUAGCCACAGUUUUGCUACUCGUGUUUUAACUCUCAGUGUAGCUCCACGUGAAAAUUGGAGAGGGAGACAGUCUGACGAUGAUUUUCCAUAAUUAAGUAUUAGGUAACCAAACCAAUUUGACACUAACAUUCAAGUCAAUGAUACACUGUUGAUAUUUUAUGUUUAAUCAGGGUACAUUUUACACAUAUAACACUUAGCCUAAAUCUAUAAAAAUGUUUUUGAAAUAUUCAAUAAAGUUACUUGAUAAUUUGAGCUGAGAGAAAUGGGAACUGGUCGCUGUAUUGUGAUGACUCUGUUAUGGUUACAAGAGAUAUUGGAAAUCAUUGCCAUUGUACUAAUAUUAGUUUUUUUUUUAGGUCCUGUUCAAUACCAUUGUUUCUUCACGAAUUAGAUGGAUAUCAGAGCUCUAAGAUCUGAAGGUUUUGUUGUGCUCUUACUGAAGAUUUCCUCUUGUGUGUGGAUAAGUGCCCAGUAUGCUGCUCCGAGUCAUUUUAAACAAGGAUGACAUCAGGAAGAUACAGAUCGAUAAUUUGCCAGAGACACUUGAGGAAUUCUUCUCAUUACUGAAAUGUAAGCUUAGAGUGGAAGAUGACCUGAUAGUCCAGUACGAAGAUAGAGACUUUGAUAAUGAGCUGUGCAACUUGACAAACUUGUCUGAUCUUCCUGAAGGAAGAGUGACAUUGAAGGUAACUGUCAAGAAUGCAACUGAGUCAUACCACACAGAUUCAACAUUGGACACUGCAAGUUUGGCCUCCACAUCUUCUCAUGAAGACCUUUCCACCAGACAAUAGCCUUGGCCUGAAGUAUUUGAGAUACCAAGAUUUCCAUAUGAUGUAGAGUUGCAGCUUAAAGGGGGCAACCAGAAAGAUGGAACUUUGCUGAAUAUAAGGAAAGACACUAAAAGUGAAAUUCUUGACAAGCUGGCGGAAACAAUUUACUCAUACACUGCCUACCCAUCACGAGAGGAAUACGACAUUGUUGCACAAAGUCUCAUCAAAAAACAUCCUUGCCUUUGGUAACCUGGGUCUUCCAAGGGUUGGUACUGCUGGAAAUUCAGCUUGAAAUUCAAAAUGGGAAACUACAGGAACAAGCUUCGUAUGGCUGGAUGCUCUGAACUUCAAGUUAACAGCCGCUCCUCAGGACCUAAACAGAAACUCAAGAAAGCUAAAAAAGCUGAGGUCAACUUUCUUCCAGACUUCCCUAAGGGAAGAACUGAAGAUGUCCUGGAAGAAGAGAGAUUGCAGAUUAUUGGAGAGAUGAAAAAGAAGAGAUCAGAUAUGAAGGAAAUUGAAGAAAUGAUGGUCAGCACCUUCUCCUUGCGGAGAAAACAUAUUGUAGAAGAAGAGCCAUCUGUGGCAGAGGUGAAGAUUAAGUGGCCAGCUUUAUUUACAGAGCAACAGAAUUCCAACAGAAUGAAAAGGGCUGUCACUUUAAGAAGAUUACCAUAUUUCCUCAGUGAAGACCCAUCAAGGUUUCUCGGGACUGCUGAAGUAAGCCUGAUUUUAUGACCUAUCGUACUAUGACCUACUGUAUGAGC